UAAUGAUGAAUUUUCUAUCUGGGUUACUACACGGUGUAACGGCCGUGAGUUGUGCUCCCGAUCGUGUUGAAUCUGAAAUGCCAGAGCUCCUGACACCUAUAGCUGCUCCUAAUGAGUGACACUUGAAAGAUCUCGCCGCAUUCAUCAUCUCCUUGACCUUUCCCCAAGAGCGCCGAAGUAUCCAUCUUCAUGCUGACAUUAAUUAUAUCUGAACUGUCAAGAACUGUAUUUUAGAAAGGAUGCGCUAGGUCUCAUUUAGGGCUUUGAAACAGAUGCGUGUUUAAAAUGCACUGCAAGAAAAAUACGACAUCUCGGCGAGUGAACAUAUCUGGAAUGUGGCGGGGCAGCAUGGGAAGCUUUUCAUUUCUGGAAAGAAGCCUGAAAAUGUCUGGGAGACGUGAGUAAACGUAUCGAACGCACGCUGAAUAAUCUUCUAUUUCACUGAUGAUAAUCUCAUAAGGAAAAGAAUAUUAAGAUACAACAGAGGAAUCCAUAUUGAAGAUGCGUUCACUGACUACAUUUUGCAGUGCUCUGUCGUUCUCGCUCGCUUUUAUUGUCUAGUUUACAGAUUUUUUUUUUUUUUUUUUAAUAAACAUGCGUUUGUUUGUUUCUUGUUUGUUUUUGCCAAGGACCGGAUUUUUGGACAUGAGCCACUUCAUGCAGAACGUGCCUCAGCGCCCAGGGUAAAGGAUCAGAUCUAGAGGCUCACAGGCAUAGAGUGCUGGGGUGAACUGGGAUGUUUGGAUGCUGUCUCUCCCCAACUUUCACACAUUCACCCAGGUUUGUUGAUGGUUGAGUGGCUGGCUGCCUUUUGUCCCAGGGCGCCCUCAUGUCUGUGUUGCCUUCUGGCUCUCCCUUUUAUUUAUGCUGUCAUAGCUAGUCUUGCCGGAGUCCCUGCUUGCACUCACGCAAUGUUCAUUGUCCUUAACCAUUACGGGGCAAUAAGCAUGCCUAAUACUCUCUCCCUCUCUCUCUCUUUCUGUUGAGCUACACAUGAUACUCCUGAGAUACCAGUGAUCCUAACCCCUUCUGCUCUCUGGACCUGCCUGAUCCAUCCUGAUGCCCUACUUCUGGUUGGAGUUCUCAUCAUUUGGAAGUUACAUGCUGC
Ictalurus punctatus (channel catfish) is the source of this 1108-nucleotide long non-coding RNA. NCBI's taxonomy places the organism in Eukaryota, Metazoa, Chordata, Actinopteri, Siluriformes, Ictaluridae. The record is from Ensembl.